RNAcentral lists this long non-coding RNA (331 nucleotides) under Drosophila guanche. The record is from RNAcentral. Lineage: Eukaryota; Metazoa; Arthropoda; Insecta; Diptera; Drosophilidae.
GUUCAAUACAGAAAUACAAUAUACAAAGAACAGAGAACAAACUCCAAAAAUGAAACGAGAGCCACUGAAAGACAUUACCAACGUGCAAACGGUUAAGAAAAUGACCCAACAGAACACCAAUAAUGGGCAACCAGCCCGCAGAUGCUUCGAGAUCUUUAGAGGAUCUAACUGAUGGGCGGACCAGAGAGUGAGUGUCAGAGAGGAGUCCGAAUAGUAUUAUCAUGUUCAUGGUUAUUUUGGAAAUCUUCAGAACUCACACAGAAUAGAGAAACACACAAAAGACACAAUCUUAAACCGCAAGAAAUAAACGACGAAUUUAAUUGUUAUUGGG